CCUGGUCGUGGGAUCUUUCCUUUCAACUCUUAUUCUUGCCUUCCCUUCCAUAUGAAACUGGAUAAAAUCAGAGAUUGAAGAUGUACCUGACUCUGGAUUGAUGCAACGGUAGCGCCCUCUACUGUUACAACAUGAAUGUCAUCUGACUCUGCACAAAUAACUUUUUUCAAGUUUCUUUAAGUUUUGUUCCAACCAAUGUAAUCAAAUUAAAUAAGUACAGUAAAAAAUAUAAUGUUGAGUGCAAGGUUAUAUAUCUGAAUUUAUUUGAUUCUGUCAUUCUUUUCAUUUAUCAGUACUUUUAAUCGGUGCUUUGGAACUGUUUUUUAUUUUUAUUUCACUUUGGUUUUAUUGAUUUUACAAUCUUUUUUGUUUAUAUUUGGAGUACUACUGUAUUCAACAUAAAUAAACAUAGUACUCGUCACCCAGUAAAUCAUUGUCCUAGUAAAGUGGGAAUUAUUGUUAAUAUAAUUACUGGUUUCGUAACCUUGCUUUUCGAGGAAUGGAACAAUUACAAAUCUUGAAAUGUUGUAAAACUAAUAAUAGUGUGAAGAGCUGACCUAAUAACACUAUCACACUGAUAUUUAUCUGGAAACAAAAUCCAUCAUAAUAUUUUUAAGCUGUUAAUGAAGUAUAACAUAACA
Maylandia zebra (zebra mbuna) is the source of this 641-nucleotide non-coding RNA. NCBI's taxonomy places the organism in Eukaryota, Metazoa, Chordata, Actinopteri, Cichliformes, Cichlidae. The record is from RefSeq and is a predicted model, not a curated record.